UGUACCUGUGCAACCAGUUGUGCUGAAUCGAUGUCAUUUUUUCCCCUAGGCCAGAGGCCACCCAGACCAGACAGAAGUGCUCUUACCGGGUGAAAGCACCAUACACCUUUCAACAUACGUUGGUGACUGAUAUAAGGGAAUGUCUUUCACCACCUUCUGUUUUACCGUGGAGGUAUAAUUGCAUUGCCUUGAACUGCAGUCUGAUAAAUAUCUAGGACUGCCAACCAGAAGGACAUGUAUGUUUCAGGCCCAGAUGAGAGAACAGCUGAUAAGGUGACAAGGUUGCUGUUCUGGACUUGAGUGCUUGAUCUUCCAUGAACUAGCCAAUCAUCCAGGUGCUUUAGUCCGGCUGCACAGCUUCCAUACUUCAGAUAGUGCAGCUGCAAAAGGAGAUUGCAUUCCACACAACGCUCAAGAAAAACAAGACUUUCCGUCCCAACAGCUGAAGUGAAGCACGUUGAGUGUGGGUUACCAUCUCUGUGGCUGAAUAGGUCAGCAAUGCACUUCAAUUAAACUGAAGAGUCUCUUCACAGCCAGGAAGAUGAGGAAAGAAUCUUAACCAAAAUCAUAACCAAAUCCACCACACAUUACAGUAAAAUCAAAAGACUCCCUAAAUCUGCAACACCCUCCCACUGGUGAGCUGCGGAUUUCCCUUGUUGAUAUUGGAUCCUGGUGGAAUAUCAGAAAAGGAACAUUGAUAAAAGAAACCAAUUUAGCAAAUUAGCCGCUCCUUAGACUCUCUGCUUUGGAACCACGCUUUCAAGCUCCUUUGAGAAGGGAACUAAAUGCUGCCACGUCAGCCCCAUGUAGAUAGCAGUUAUCUCC
This is a long non-coding RNA of Mauremys reevesii (Reeves's turtle), 825 nucleotides long. RefSeq lists it as uncharacterized. Lineage: Eukaryota; Metazoa; Chordata; Testudines; Geoemydidae. The record is from RefSeq and is a predicted model, not a curated record. The transcript has 4 exons.